This 69-nucleotide transfer RNA is filed under the name Urocitellus parryii (Arctic ground squirrel). RNAcentral's name for it is "Spermophilus parryii (Arctic ground squirrel) tRNA". It matches the Rfam family "tRNA". From Rfam's summary of the family: Transfer RNA (tRNA) molecules are approximately 80 nucleotides in length. Their secondary structure includes four short double-helical elements and three loops (D, anti-codon, and T loops). RNAcentral also lists the same sequence under 1 other name. The record is from Rfam by way of RNAcentral. Lineage: Eukaryota; Metazoa; Chordata; Mammalia; Rodentia; Sciuridae.
GGGGUUGUGGCUCAGCGGUAGAGCACUCACCUAGCAUGUGCAAGGCCCUGGGUUCGAUCCUCAGCACCA